Molecule: long non-coding RNA, 1238 nt
Organism: Megalops cyprinoides (Indo-Pacific tarpon)
Lineage: Eukaryota; Metazoa; Chordata; Actinopteri; Elopiformes; Megalopidae
Exons: 4
Source: RefSeq, a predicted model, not a curated record
GCCACCUGCAGCUAGCUCUCGGCACACUGAGGAAAGUAGCUAUAAAACAACAAACUGUGAUACACCGACUUUAUUAAGAACCGGGCAUGACAUGGUGACCACCUCUGAGUGUUUACUGAUAUUCACAUAUCAUGUGCAAGUCCACUUCAUAUAUUCUCCUCCGGCUAAACGCUCUUCAAUUAGGCUAUGUGAUCAAUGUUUGUUGUCACUGCUACCACAAUGACAGACGGCAGACUCACUGGACUUGCCCUUAUGAACAUUCAUUCUGAAAUGAAAAUAGACAGUGAGGAAGUGCGCAAACCGGGAGAAGGAGGGUAAACUUCAAAUAGGAAGAAGAGGCAGACCAGCCCUUGAUGUUACCAGAGAACAUAUUGAAUUUCUGCUGAAGCAAGGUCAUACAAUUUAAAAAAAUUGCUAAAAUACUGGGAUGCUCCUAAUCAUUUCUGUACAAGAAGUCAAAGUUGAUGGGUAUACCUGUGAGAAGUAGGCUGUCUGCAAUAGAUGAUGGCGCACUGGAACAGCAUGUGAGGUGACUUCAGGGCCAAUAUCCUAAUUCUGGGAAUGAGAUGAUGAGAGCCCUGUUGCAUGCACAGGGUGUGAUUGUUACACGGUCCAGGGUGUGUGAGAUGUUUACGAGAAUAAAUCCUACUGCUGCAAGGAAAUGGAGGCAGACAGUUACAAGAUGGGUUUAUCAUGCACCAUACCCCAACAGUUUGUAGCACAUUGAUGGGAACAUGCGCCUUAUAAGAUGGGGCUUUGCGAUUCAUGGUGCCAUUGAUGGACACUCCCGUCUGAUUACUUACCUCAACUGCAGCACAGACAAUCGUGCCAUAACGGUGCUUUCUCAGUUUUUGAAAGAAACGUGCCUCUAUGGACUACUCUUGAGAGUCAGAUCUGAAUCAAAUGCCAUUUUUUGCCAUUGAAUUUUAGCCAACCUUUUUCGAACGAAGCUUCGAAUGUCGGUGACGUGAUGUCAUCAUUUUGGCCUGUCGUUUCGGCAUUUCGUAAGUGACCAAAUGAAUGUAACAAACAGUUCUGUCGACAAAAGUUCAACCAGCAUUUGCUUUAGUGUAUGGAAUUAUUCCUGUGCGAUUUCAUGACACAUAAUUCAUUCCGUAAACUGACUCACGGACCAAAGCCCUUUCGUGCGCAUCAUACCUUCAGUAAUAUAGCCUAUAAACAUAAUUAAUUUUGUACUUAAGCAAAACGCUGAUGUCUAUGAAAGUUCAAGCAGCCUU